This 228-nucleotide ribosomal RNA is filed under the name uncultured Bacteroides sp. RNAcentral describes it as "partial 16S ribosomal RNA". It matches the Rfam family "Bacterial small subunit ribosomal RNA", at positions 383 to 608 of the family's 1533-position model. The record is from RNAcentral. Lineage: Bacteria; Pseudomonadati; Bacteroidota; Bacteroidia; Bacteroidales; Bacteroidaceae.
CUGAACCAGCCAAGUAGCGUGAAGGAUGAAGGAUCUAUGGUUCGUAAACUUCUUUUAUAAGGGAAUAAAGUGUGGUACGUGUACCAUUUUGUAUGUACCUUAUGAAUAAGGAUCGGCUAACUCCGUGCCAGCAGCCGCGGUAAUACGGAGGAUCCGAGCGUUAUCCGGAUUUAUUGGGUUUAAAGGGUGCGUAGGUGGCUUUUUAAGUCAGUUGUGAAAGUUUGCGGA